This 85-nucleotide transfer RNA is filed under the name Sulfuricurvum sp. RNAcentral's name for it is "tRNA-Leu". It matches the Rfam family "tRNA". From Rfam's summary of the family: Transfer RNA (tRNA) molecules are approximately 80 nucleotides in length. Their secondary structure includes four short double-helical elements and three loops (D, anti-codon, and T loops). RNAcentral also lists the same sequence under 1 other name. The record is from RNAcentral. Lineage: Bacteria; Pseudomonadati; Campylobacterota; Epsilonproteobacteria; Campylobacterales; Sulfurimonadaceae.
GCGAUCGUGGUGAAAUUGGUAGACACGCUAUCUUGAGGGGGUAGUGCCAGCAGGUGUGCGAGUUCGAGUCUCGCCGAUCGCACCA